GGACGAGCCUCUGGAGAGACUCCGCAAGGAGCACCGAAGGAGCAAGCUGCUUUCCCAGUGCAGUGAAACUCUCAGGUAAAAGGACAGAGUGGACCCA
This 97-nucleotide non-coding RNA is filed under the name Desulfovibrio sp. RNAcentral's name for it is "Glycine sequence". It matches the Rfam family "Glycine riboswitch aptamer". Rfam says of the family: This family represents the bacterial glycine riboswitch. Glycine riboswitches usually consist of two metabolite-binding aptamers domains with similar structures in tandem. The aptamers cooperatively bind glycine to regulate the expression of downstream genes. The record is from RNAcentral. Lineage: Bacteria; Pseudomonadati; Thermodesulfobacteriota; Desulfovibrionia; Desulfovibrionales; Desulfovibrionaceae. RNAcentral also lists the same sequence under 1 other name.